RNAcentral lists this ribosomal RNA (433 nucleotides) under uncultured bacterium. RNAcentral's name for it is "partial 16S ribosomal RNA". It matches the Rfam family "Bacterial small subunit ribosomal RNA", at positions 29 to 507 of the family's 1533-position model. The record is from RNAcentral.
AACGAACGCUGGCGGCAGGCCUAACACAUGCAAGUCGAGCGAGGACUUCGGUUCUAGCGGCGGACGGGUGAGUAACGCGUGGGAAUGUUCCCUUCUCUACGGAAUAGCCCUGGGAAACUGGGAGUAAUACCGUAUACGCCCUAUUGGGGAAAGAUUUAUCGGAGAAGGAUCAGCCCGCGUUGGAUUAGGUAGUUGGUGGGGUAAUGGCCUACCAAGCAGACGAUCCAUAGUUGGUUAGAGAGGAUGAUCAGCCACACUGGGACUGAGACACGGCCCAGACUCCUACGGGAGGCAGCAGUGGGGAAUCUUAGACAAUGGGGGCAAACCUGAUCUAGCCAUGCCGCGUGAGUGAUGAAGGCCUUAGGGUUGUAAAGCUCUUUCAGCUGGGAAGAUAAUGACGGUACCAGCAGAAGAAGCCCCGGCUAACUCCGUG